RNAcentral lists this long non-coding RNA (1220 nucleotides) under Salmo salar (Atlantic salmon). Its description in RNAcentral is "lncRNA (ENSSSAG00000081871.1)". The record is from RNAcentral. Lineage: Eukaryota; Metazoa; Chordata; Actinopteri; Salmoniformes; Salmonidae.
GUUCUACCCUGAUGAAGACUACAGUUAUAGUUCUACCCUGAUGAAGACUACAGUAAUAGUUCUACCCUGAUGAAGACUACAGUAAUAGUCCUACCCUGUAACCCUGAUGAAGACUACAGUAAUAGGUCUACCCUGUAACUCUGAAGACUACAGUAAUAGUUAUGGUUUAAACUAGGCUCUUCAACCCUGUUCCUGGAGAGAUACCCUCCUGUAGGUUUUAACUCUGACCCUGUUCCUGGAGAGAUACCCUCCUGGAGGUUUUAACUCUGACCCUGUUCCUGGAGAGAUACCCUCCUGGAGGUUUUAACUCCGACCCUGUUCCUGGAGAGAGACCCUCCUGGAGGUUUUAACUCCGACCCUGUUCCUGGAGGUUUUCACUCCAACCCCAGUUGUAACUAACCUGAUUCAGUUUAUCAACCAGCUAAUUAUUAGAAUCAGGUGUGCUACAGCAGGGUUGGAGUGAAAACCUCCAGGAUGGUAGUUCUUCAGGAACUGGGUUAGAGCUCCCUGAACUAGGCUAUAAGGCAGUGAGGAAGACUCCACUCCUUCAUAUAACACAGACCACUGAGGAAGACUCCACUCCUUCAGAUAACACAGACCACUGAGGAAGACUCCACUCCUUCAGAUAACACAGACCACUGAGGAAGACUCCACUCCUCCACACAGACCACUGAGGAAGACUCCACUCCUCCACACAGACCACUGAGGAAGACUCCACUCCUCCACACAGACCACUGAGGAAGACCCCACUCCUCCACACAGACCACUGAGGAAGACCCCACUCCUCCACACAGACCACUGAGGAAGACUCCACUCCUCCACACAGACCACUGAGGAAGACUCCACUCCUCCACACAGACCACUGAGGAAGGCUCCACUCCUCCAGACUGUCCUACCUGGCCAGAAUCACCAGCACCAGCAGGUUACCCACAAGGCUUAGCACAAUGACCACGGAGAGGACCAUGGGUGUGACGAGGGCUCCGAACCAGACCACGUCUGUCUUGGAACAGAGUUCAUCCCCGUACUCUUCGUCAAAGUCGCCGCUGCCGUAGAAAUCACUGGUGGCAUUGGUUCCAUUGCUGUAUUUGGGUUUUAUCAUUGCAAUGUGAUCCAAAAGGUGGCAACGGUGUGCUUUAGGACCAUGCGGACACCUCUGACACCGCGGACACCUCCGAAGGCUGUUUAGAGUGUUCAGCCGGCUGAGUUUAUGACUACCCCGG